Brassica oleracea var. oleracea is the source of this 88-nucleotide small nucleolar RNA. It matches the Rfam family "Plant small nucleolar RNA SNOR75". Rfam says of the family: U15 is a member of the C/D class of snoRNA which contain the C (UGAUGA) and D (CUGA) box motifs. The record is from Rfam. NCBI's taxonomy places the organism in Eukaryota, Viridiplantae, Streptophyta, Magnoliopsida, Brassicales, Brassicaceae.
UCUCAGUGAUGAACAAAACAUAGAUGACGAGUCCGAUCAAUCCAUUCUUUAAAUUCGUAGUGACAAACGAGGCAUUUGUCUGAGAGGA